GCCGGCAGCUAGCUCUCGGCAACUCUCACAUGGUUGCCCACUAAAGCUAAGCAGGGUAGCACCUGGUCAGUACCUGGAUGGGAGACCACAUGGGAAAGCUAGGCUGCUGCCGGAA
RNAcentral lists this ribosomal RNA (115 nucleotides) under Danio rerio (zebrafish). Lineage: Eukaryota; Metazoa; Chordata; Actinopteri; Cypriniformes; Danionidae. The record is from RNAcentral.